UACGGAGGAUGCGAGCGUUAUCCGGAUUUAUUGGGUUUAAAGGGUGCGUAGGCGGGCUUUUAAGUCAGCGGUAAAAAUUCGGGGCUCAACCCCGUCGGGCCGUUGAAACUGGGGGUCUUGAGUGGGCGAGAAGAAGGCGGAAUGCGUGGUGUAGCGGUGAAAUGCAUAGAUAUCACGCAGAACCCCGAUUGCGAAGGCAGCCUUCCGGCGCCCUACUGACGCUGAGGCACGAAAGUGCGGGGAUCGAACAGG
Molecule: ribosomal RNA, 252 nt
Filed under: uncultured bacterium
Lineage: Bacteria
Description: partial 16S ribosomal RNA
Rfam family: Bacterial small subunit ribosomal RNA
Source: RNAcentral